CUCUCUCUCUCUCUCUCUCUCUCUGAUUCGCAAAUACACAAAGGAAAGUGAAAUAGAAAUAUGCAAAGACGCACCAUAUACGCAUGGGCAGUGGCGAUUGUCUGCUUCGUAGUACUGAUGAUUGUGACUCCGGCCAUUCCUCAAUCUGAAGAAUAUCACGAUUUCGCUGAUCAACGCGAAUUCUUUGGAAUACCCAAUACUCUGAAUGUCAUUUCGAAUUUUCCUUUCCUUGUUAUUGGAGUGAUUGGACUUGUGCUUUGCUAUCAUGGGAAUUAUUUUAAGCUGAGCCUACAAGGUGAGCUUUGGGGUUGGACAUGUUUUUUCCUUGGUGUGGCUGCUGUUGCUUUUGGCUCUGGAUACUACCAUCUCAAGCCUGAUGAUGCCCGCCUUGUGUGGGAUCGCCUGCCGAUGACUGUUGCAUUCACAUCAAUUAUUGCGAUUUUUAUCAUUGAAAGGAUUGAUGAGAGAAAGGGCACAAUAUCCAUUUUACCUUUAAUAUUGGCCGGUAUUAUAAGCAUUGCAUAUUGGAGGUUUUUUGAUGACCUCCGCCCAUAUGCACUAGUCCAGUUUGUUCCUUGCAUUGCUAUUCCACUAAUGGCUAUCUUGUUACCUCCAAUGUAUACCCAUUCUGCAUAUUGGCUUUGGGCAGCAGGAUUUUAUCUUUUAGCUAAGGUGGAAGAAGCGGCAGAUAAACCAAUUUACAGAUGGACUCAUCAUAUCAUCAGUGGGCACACCCUCAAGCAUUUAUGUGCUGCAAUGGUUCCUAUCUUCUUGACACUUAUGCUUGCAAAGAGGAGUAUUGAAACAGAGAGGAUAAGUCUCUAUAAGAGGUGGAAGAUUUCAUCAUGGACAGAAGUCAAAGAAAAUGGUGCAAAGGUGGAAAGUUAUACUUGUACCUAUACAAAUGUACCAGUUGCAGAAUCACCUUAAUCCGAUACACACGAAUAUCAUUCAAUGUGAUUGAGCAUUUGUAUGUAGACCAAAACCAAAAAGUUCACUCUAACCUGGUUACUG
This 1014-nucleotide unclassified non-coding RNA is filed under the name Hevea brasiliensis (rubber tree). Lineage: Eukaryota; Viridiplantae; Streptophyta; Magnoliopsida; Malpighiales; Euphorbiaceae. The record is from RNAcentral.